RNAcentral lists this transfer RNA (72 nucleotides) under Armatimonadota bacterium. It matches the Rfam family "tRNA". Rfam says of the family: Transfer RNA (tRNA) molecules are approximately 80 nucleotides in length. Their secondary structure includes four short double-helical elements and three loops (D, anti-codon, and T loops). Lineage: Bacteria; Bacillati; Armatimonadota. The record is from Rfam by way of RNAcentral.
GCGGGAGUAGUUCAGUGGUAGAGCGUUUCCUUCCCAAGGAAAAUGUCGCGAGUUCGAGUCUCGUCUCCCGCU